RNAcentral lists this long non-coding RNA (6808 nucleotides) under Medicago truncatula (barrel medic). RNAcentral's name for it is "long non-coding RNA (MTRU_LNC006710)". The record is from RNAcentral. Lineage: Eukaryota; Viridiplantae; Streptophyta; Magnoliopsida; Fabales; Fabaceae.
AUUGAAUUGCUAAGUGUAUAAUGGUGUAGAUUAUGUUACCUACUGGAUGCCAUGGUAGCAUUUAAUAUGUUGAAAUAAUUGCUUAAACAGUUAAACUUCUUGGUCAGGUCUUGGGUUCAUAACUUCCAUAACCUUCAUCUUCUUGAUCGGGAUUUUCAUGUCAUCAUGGUUGGGUGCAUCUGUCCUGGGACUUGGGGAGUGGUUUAUCAAGAGAAUGCCUCUUGUUCGUCAUAUCUAUAAUGCUUCUAAGCAGAUUAGUGCUGCGAUAUCACCAGGUGUGUUUGGCAACAUCUUACUCUUUUUUUUUUUGGUCAAGCAACCUAGUGGCUAGAAAUUCACCUUUAAGGUGAAUAAGUGGGGUGUCCGGGGUUCAAACCCCGGCCCCUACAUAUAUUAUGCAUUGUCCCUUAUCAACUGAGCUAUGCUCUUGGAGACAGCAACAUCUUACUCUUUAUUGUGAUGCUAAUGUAUAUCUAAUGGCGGGUAAGAGAUGUUUAUGUUAACACAUGUGCUGCCACAGAUCAAAAUUCACAAGCCUUCAAAGAAGUAGCCAUCAUUCGACAUCCACGUGUAGGUGAAUAUGCAUUGGGAUUCAUCACCUCGUCUGUUGUCCUUCAGGUUUCUUAAACAGUUCUACUUUAGUGGCUUUUUAGUUCGGAUUUUUUUCUUUCAUUGUUGCUUAACUUGGUGUUUUACGAUGUUAAGAGCCCAAUGUUGAAUUUUUUUCUUUCAUUGUUGCUUAACUUGGUGUUUAACUUAGUUUGGAAUCACGAGUGAGUCCAUAUGAAUUAGUGAUAAUUAAUAAAGAUUAUCUGCUUAUCACGGCUUUAAAACUUUUGUUGAAUUGAACUAUCUUAAUUAUAUCGCUGUUUCACAGACUUAUUCUGGAGAUGAGGAGUUAUGCUGUGUCUAUGUUCCCACAAACCAUCUUUAUAUCGGUGAUAUAUUUCUCGUCAACACCAAGGAUGUCAUUAGGCCAAACUUAUCAGUCCGGGAAGGAAUUGGUGAGUUAUACUAGUUUUUAAAGUUAUUCUAAGCCUUACACUGUAGAAGUAAAGGCAGGCUGAAUUACGUUGCACUCAUUUUAAUAUUAUGAAGAUGUACUUUUCGGAGCUUCCUCUGUGGAGGUGCAGUAAAAUUGGAGCCUGAUGUUUUUGUUUGUGAUUUAGAAUUGGGAGACGAUGAACUGAGUAAUAACUAUCUUGUUUUACCCAACUCAGCCAUAAGUAUCACAUAUACAAUUAUACUUUUCACUCGCAUACUGUUUAUACUUGUGGAAUUCACCAAAAAAGCACACCUUAAUCGUGUUGCAACUUUUUAUGAACAAUUCAUAUUCAUUAAAUGCCUCGGUAAUCAUUAGGUGCAAGUGUAGCUAUCACCUCUAGUCUAACUUAUGCACUUUAGGUUGCAAGGAAUGAAGAUGCAAAAUAUAUGAAAACUAAUUGAACUCACACCAAUAUAUUUUUAACAUUGGCUAAAUUUUGCAGAAAUUGUCGUUUCUGGAGGCAUGUCAAUGCCGCAGAUCUUAUCGACGCUUGAUUCACAUGUUCCGGUGGAAAUAAGUAGACCUGAUAGAAGAUGACAGUUAAAGGUAUAGUAGUUGUUUAUUUAACAGCUAAUUUCACAUGGAGAUAUCAGAAUGGCAGCGCAAGCAAUGUGUUGGAAAUACAGGCAUGGAAUUUACGCGUUGAUCCGCGAACCAGUGUUAGAUCGAUAAAUUGUGAUGUUUUGUGUAACAUUCAUUCCGGCAAUAGAAUGUAGAAUUUAGUGUUUGUUUGAAAAUAUAGUUUGGGUGAUGGUACAGGGUUACAACAUUCUAUUGAGGUAGGGCUCUAAAAUUUAGUACUUGUGCAUAUCUUGGCGGUCUCCGUUUGUUAUAGCAAUUCAAUUUUGUAGUGCUGAUUACUUGCUUUCAGCUUAAUAAUAUAUUAUGUUUCUACGGUGGUUUUCAUUUCAUUGGCGAGUCAACUUAUUCAAAUCUCACCAUUCUCAAUUGAAUUUAAUGGAUAUGCACCAGAUAUUUUACCUUUAAACUUUUAGAAAUGUUAAAUUGUGCCCUUCCAACAUAAUAUAGUUUUUUUUUUAAUCGGCAAAUAUUAUUAACAACAAGCUCGUGUGCAAGAUGCCCUAAAAAGCUCCCUAAACAGAAAUAAUACAAAAGCGUCGUAAAUAUACGGAACACUUAAACCAAAUAACAAAAAAACUAAAUAACAAAACAGCCACACCAAGCCAAAGAGGCAAGACACUACCACAAACCAAAAAAGAAAAACCUGUGAACACCAACGGCGACAGCAAUAACGCCAGCCCCAAAGGUAGUAAAAAGAGCCAAACUAGGCCGUUAAACAACACAAAUAAGGCACCCUGUGCAAGACCAGAAAGGUACGCCAGAAAACAGCAGCCGCGCACCAUGAAGGUGGACACCAAAUCCAUUCAUAAUACAUACAAACCGGAAUGUUAAACCUUUCCAACAACCACCGCCAUGAAAAAACCUUUAUCUCCUCUACAAGCUCUUCUAUGGUUUUAGAUACAUCAUUGAAAAUACGAUCAUUUCUAACUUUCCAAAUCACCCACGCCACAUAUCAAAUCGCCCUCAAACCCUUUUAUAGAUUGACCCCCCACUCCAACGCUCCCCCCCACCCCCCAAAACACACACACUCCUUCCAACUUGUUGUACAAUGACUUAAUCGUAAAAACUCCAUCAUCCUCUAACUUCCAACUCCACCUAUCCUCACCAUGUCCCCACACAAAUCCUUCCAAAUCUUCCAACAAGUUGUUAAGAAGAUUGGUUUCCCACUCAAAAAAUUGGCGCCUCCAACUCCCCACUAAAUGAAUCAUUAAAGAGUGUCUCGAGGAAUCUCAAAAUCCUUAAAAUUAUAUGAGUAAUGAAACUGCUAUUUGAGAAUUAAAAAGGUGAAUUUCUACCACUAGGCUACUAAUUUAUGCUAAACCAAGCACAUAUUAAGCACACGACAUUACAAUUCUCCCCAAAGAAUCCUUCCCUUAGGGAUGACAUUGGGUACCCUAUGGGUAAGGUCGGUGCCCUUCCCCAUACCCGCGUUUGUAAAAAAAUACACGUACCAUCGCGGGCAACAAAUUUAGUGCCCUUCCCCACCCAUACCAGCACCCACCCAUUAUCUGCACUUUAACUAUGAAAAGACAAUAAAAAUAUAACAAUUGAAAUAAAAUUAUGGUUCAAAUUUUUUCAAAUCAACUCAUAAAAUAGUAUGGUUCGUAGUAUUUAACAAAAUAAAAAACAUCCAAAACAUCCUUCAAAAUUGUACACUAGCAGGAGGGAUCAGUUAUUGUAUUACGUAGUUUUUGGAUUACGCUUAGACUUAAAUAACUAAAUAAAUUAAUUAAUUAUACACCAAAAAUAAAUAAAUUAUUUAUCAUAUUGGAUAAAUAUGUUUAUGCGGGUUGCGGGGCUGGACAAUAUAGUACUCUUACCCAUACCCAUUUAAAUUUGCGGACAAUAUCCAGACCCAAGCCCGAACCCAUGAAAGCGGGAUUUUACCCUAUCUAUUGCAGGUAUUUUUUCGGAUAUCCAUCGAACCUGAGUCCAAUUGCCAUCCCUUGGCUUCCCUUGAUACCAAACGACAAUACAAUUUUUUCCAAACCACAUAAUACCAUGUUGCUUGAUAAGUAAUCAACCAAAUUAUUUACGACAACUCAUCAGCUACACUUGACAGCAUAAUAUACGCAUACUAUGAGUUAUACAGGCAGGCAUGCUGCCAAGUUUAGUCUUCGAAUUAUUUAGAGUUUCAAAGACAAAAAUAGAUGGAAAAUUUAACAUGUUCUUUCUUUUGAUAUCAUUUUUUUAAAGAAGAAAAUUAUCUUUCUUUUGAUAUCAUAGUUUAUUAAUCACCCACAUAACAUAAUUAACUAUGAUUUUUAAUGUCAUUAGCCAUUACUUUUUGGGUCGAUAAUAUCAUUAUCCGUGAUUUUCAACAUUUAGCAUUUGAAAAGUAAGAAACUUGUAUUUCUUUUCAAAUUCUCUUCAAUGUGUUAACAUUUUCAAAGAGUCAAUUCUUAGAUGCCACAAAUAUGCCUCUUUUAUUCGAGACAUCAAGAAUCUCAUCAAUCUUGACCAAGUCACGUGCAUUGCCUACAUCAUCUGAGAAGGUACGCUAAUUUUUAACAAAGCUUGAAGCUUACUUCCUCCUCAAAUCUUAUCAUUUCCAUCUCUCCUCAAUCAAAUUUAUCGAAACUUCUAAUAGCAGGCUCUGCGAAAACUUAAUUUCAUAGAUUGUUAUUUUCUUUGUUUUCGGUUUUUCUUUCUUGGCCUUGUAAAAAAUUAAAACCAAAAUAUAUGAUCAAUAACAUUUAAAAUUAUGGUUAACAUGUUUAAUCGAUAAUUAAUGAAUUUUGACACUUCAUAAUCAACUAUGAUUAUUGACCUUAGACUUGAAACUUAUCAUCCCUUAGUUCAAACUGGUCAAAUUAUCUGAUUUAUUGUAAGACUUACGUGUUCAAAUAUAUUUUAUUGAAUUAUGAUGAAUUGAUGAAUAUUCGUUGGCAAAGAACACCUCCCUCAAGUCACAUGCACCCAUUCAAAUUCAUCACCUAUAUAACAUCAUCAUUAUUUUGUCUUCUUUAUCUUAAUUCUAAAAGUCAACAAAAGCAUCUGAAUCCCAACCUAGGAACUUUUAAAAAUUUAAUAAUGUAUAGUUAAAAUACAGUAAUUUUUUUUUGACGAAAUAUAGUUAAAAACUUAAAAUAAGUUAAACUUUUGUUUGGAUUGAAAUAAAAUAAAUAAUUCACAUAAAUAUUAAUUAAAAUAAACAAAAAAGAGAGAAAAUAAAAUCCGAGAAGAAAAGAAUUAGAGAGUGGUUUUGAAAAAUUUAUCAUUUCUGCAAUUCUUCCACCAAAAUUUCUAAACGACGUCGUAACUGAUAAUUCUUCCGGCGAUGGUUGACGACAAAUCUCCGUCGACUGUAAUAGGCAACAGAGAUAGAGAUCGAGAGCUUCUCAUCCCCGUCGCUAAUUCCGGCGACGAUACCGAUGCCUCCAGACCAUUGGCUUCAUCCUCUUCGAUGCAUCAUAGCGGCCGCGAGGUACUUAAGGGUUUUAAUUGUUCAUUGUUUAAUUUGAAGCAUUUGACUAAUCUCAAUUUUGUGCGUGCUUGCAUUGAAUUUGUUAGUCUCGGGAAUUUCUUUAACUUGAAUUGUUACUAAUUUUAGGGAUGAUUUAUGUUAACUGGAUGAACUUCUUAGUUCAAUUACUAAUUAAAUUGAUUGAACUACUAAUUCAAUUAAGGGCAUAAUUUUUUUUAUUACCUUUUUUUUAUAAGCAUACCAAAUUAAAUUGUCCAAAUAUUUUCCUUUUUCUUCUUUAUCGGUUCAAAUAUUUUUAUUGGGUCUGUUUUCUGUUAAAUAAAUACUUGAUUUAUACUAGAAUUAUAGCAACAGCACAAGCUAGAGCUUUGAUUCGUCAAAAAAAAAAAAAAAAAAACUGGACCUUUGAAUUUGCAUGAAAAUUUAAUGUGUUUCAGUGAAAUUUAAUUCAUUGACUAUGCAUCUGAAGUAUCUGUCUGACAUUUGGCUAUGUGAUUUUUUCUGUUGAUUUGUAGACUUUUUCCAAAGUUGUUCAGAGCUGGGCAUCAAAAAAAUUCAUGACUGGAUGGUGCGUAUCACUUUACUCAACCCAAUAUCUUACUGUGUGCAUUCAUACAUAUAUCAAACUAGUGCCACAUGUCAUAUCUGUCGCCUUCUUGUUGUAUCGAUGUCUGUGUCUUGAAUUACAAGUUAGCAUACAUCAUAGUUGUAUUUAUGAAACUAUUUGCUAGUAAUAUAUUCAAACUGGCACUCCUUGUUUAAUGGGGAAGGGGGAUCCUAAUUGAACAAAACCUUUGAGUUCUAGAUUAUAAAUCUCCAUAUAGCUUAUUCAAUUUGUGACAUACUGACCAAGAAAAAUAUAGAAAUAUUUUCAUCAUUAUCUCUAUCACUGGUUUUAGAAGGGUGAGGCGAUGGAGAAGUAGACAACUUUUUAAAGGAUUAACUAUUUGUAAGCUAAAGACAACUUAUGAAAAUAAAUUAUCUGAAGGAGUUUAUGAAAAUAAGCUGAAAACGUUUUGCACAAUACGAUAAAUAAGUUAUUUCAAAUGCCCCCAAAUCUGAUAUGUGCAUUAUUACCUAUAAAAUGGCAGUAGCAGCUGAAUGUUAUGAAUUCUUUGUUAAUAUGUCAUGUUUAAUUAGUUGAUAGGUCUUUUUUUUUUUUUUGAAGUGUCAUUCUUCUUCCAAUUGCAAUCACCUUCUACAUAACAUGGUGGUUCAUUCAUUUCGUGGAUGGAUUUUUUUCUCCAAUCUAUGCUCAACUUGGAAUCGACAUCUUUGGUAAGUGCUUCUAUUUUAUGGUACUUCCCUUUACGCCUUACUAUUUCCCACACAAGGCCAGUAUUAUGGCUAUUCAAUUUUAUUGGAUGGAUCAAAUAUUUGUAGUGCUACAUUCAUAUUAUUUGGGUUUUGCUAUUUUUUGUUUUUGGGGAUUAUUGGAAGUAGUGUUGUGCAAUAGAGCUUCCAGAGAAAUACAAUUUUUUACAUGGGAAAUAUGUUAUUGGCCUUUGGUGUCUGUCUCUGACCCAUUAGGCCAUGGUAGCAUUAUACAUGUUGAUUGUUGAAGUAAUUGCUAACACUCCUUGGCCAGGUCUUGGAUUCAUAACUUCCAUAACCUUCAUCUUCUUGGUUGGGGUUUUCAUGUCAUCAUGGCUGGGUGCAUCUGUCCUGGGACUUGGGGAGUGGUUUAUCAAGCGAAUGCCUCUUGUUCGUCAUAUCUAUAAUGCCUCUAAGCAAAUUAGUGCUGCUAUAUCACC